RNAcentral lists this ribosomal RNA (526 nucleotides) under uncultured bacterium. RNAcentral describes it as "bacterial SSU rRNA". It matches the Rfam family "Bacterial small subunit ribosomal RNA", at positions 319 to 842 of the family's 1533-position model. The record is from RNAcentral.
CUGAGACACGGACCAGACUCCUACGGGAGGCAGCAGUGAGGAAUAUUGGUCAAUGGCCGCAGGGCUGAACCAGCCAAGUCGCGUGAGGGAUGACGGUCCUAUGGAUCGUAAACCUCUUUUGUCAGGGAGCAAAGGGCGCCACGUGUGGCGCUUUGCGAGUACCUGAAGAAAAAGCAUCGGCUAACUCCGUGCCAGCAGCCGCGGUAAUACGGAGGAUGCGAGCGUUAUCCGGAUUUAUUGGGUUUAAAGGGUGCGCAGGCGGAAUGUCAAGUCAGCGGUAAAAUUUCGGGGCUCAACCCCGUCGUGCCGUUGAAACUGGCGUUCUUGAGUGAGCGAGAAGUAUGCGGAAUGCGUGGUGUAGCGGUGAAAUGCAUAGAUAUCACGCAGAACUCCGAUUGCGAAGGCAGCAUACCGGCGCUCAACUGACGCUCAUGCACGAAAGCGUGGGUAUCGAACAGGAUUAGAUACCCUGGUAGUCCACGCAGUAAACGAUGAAUACUAACUGUCCGGGCAGAAUGAUGCCUGG